Molecule: ribosomal RNA, 497 nt
Filed under: uncultured bacterium
Lineage: Bacteria
Description: partial 16S ribosomal RNA
Rfam family: Bacterial small subunit ribosomal RNA
Source: RNAcentral
GAUGAACGCUGGCGGCGUGCCUAAUACAUGCAAGUCGAGCGAACAGACGAGGAGCUUGCUCCUCUGACGUUAGCGGCGGACGGGUGAGUAACACGUGGAUAACCUACCUAUAAGACUGGGAUAACUUCGGGAAACCGGAGCUAAUACCGGAUAAUAUAUUGAACCGCAUGGUUCAAUAGUGAAAGACGGUUUUGCUGUCACUUAUAGAUGGAUCCGCGCCGCAUUAGCUAGUUGGUAAGGUAACGGCUUACCAAGGCAACGAUGCGUAGCCGACCUGAGAGGGUGGGCGGCCACACUGGAACUGAGACACGGUACAGACGCCUACGGGAGGCAGCAGUAGGGAAUCUUCCGCAAUGGGCGAAAGCUUGACGGAGCAACGCCGCGUGAGUGAUGAAGGUCUUCGGAUCGUAAAACUCUGUUAUUAGGGAAGAACAAAUGUGUAAGUAACUAUGCACGUCUUGACGGUACCUAAUCAGAAAGCCACGGCUAACUACGUG